GACGAACGCUGGCGGCGUGCUUAACACAUGCAAGUCGAACGAUGAAGCGCUGUCUUUUUGGUGGUGUGGAUUAGUGGCGAACGGGUGAGUAAUACGCGGGCAACCUGCCCCUCUGCUUCGGGAUAAGCUUUGGAAACGGGGUCUAAUACCGGAUGUGCCUGUCUGGUCGCAUGGCUGGGCGGGGAAAGAUGUUUUACGGCGGGGGAUGGGCUCGCGCCUUAUCGCCUUGUAGGUGCGGUCAACGCUCACCCCCUACGUAUUACCGCGGCUGCUGGCACGUAUUUAGCCGGCGCUUCUUUGAAGCGUACCCUCAACCCCGCCAACGGAGCCUUGUCCCGCGUCGAAAGGGGUUUACCACCCCAAAGCCUCCUCCCCCUCUCUUGUCGCUGCAUCAGGCUUGCGCCCCAUGUGCAAUAUCCCUACUGCAGCCUUCCCGUUGAGUCUGGGGCCGUAUCUUUUUUUCUAGUGGGGCCGAACACCCCUCCUAGUCCCGGAAACCGUCUACGUCUUGGGAGGCCGGUUCCCCCCCAUAAGGCGAUAGGCCGUAGGUCCAUUCCCCCGCCGAAUAUAUCGUUACCUUCCGGGUUAUUAAUC
RNAcentral lists this ribosomal RNA (594 nucleotides) under uncultured Lactobacillus sp. RNAcentral's name for it is "partial 16S ribosomal RNA". It matches the Rfam family "Bacterial small subunit ribosomal RNA", at positions 28 to 305 of the family's 1533-position model. The record is from RNAcentral. Lineage: Bacteria; Bacillati; Bacillota; Bacilli; Lactobacillales; Lactobacillaceae.